UACGGGGGGGGCAAGCGUUGUUCGGAAUUACUGGGCGUAAAGGGCUCGUAGGCGGCCAACUAAGUCAUACGUGAAAUCCCUCGGCUUAACCGGGGAACUGCGUCUGAUACUGGAUGGCUUGAGUUCGGGAGAGGGAUGCGGAAUUCCAGGUGUAGCGGUGAAAUGCGUAGAUAUCUGGAGGAACACCGGUGGCGAAGGCGGCAUCCUGGACCGAUACUGACGCUGAGGAGCGAAAGCCAGGGGAGCAAACGGG
This 253-nucleotide ribosomal RNA is filed under the name uncultured bacterium. Its description in RNAcentral is "partial 16S ribosomal RNA". It matches the Rfam family "Bacterial small subunit ribosomal RNA", at positions 524 to 776 of the family's 1533-position model. The record is from RNAcentral.